UGAGAAUAAUUACAUUAUAAAAUUUUUAUAAAUACAAAACUCAUUGAUCUUUAUCCCUAGCUAAAGGCAACCACCUCUUUUUAGCAAGAGUAAAGGAACUGUUUCCUUUAGGUGAUUAAUUACUGCCAGAGGUCUGGAGAUGUGGCUCUUGCUUGGCGUGUGUCCAGAGCCUUUGCAUGUAUUUAUCAUUGUAAUUGCAUGCAGGAAACUGUACUAAUUUUCUUCAGUGUUAACCUGCCUGUCAAAUAAAUUCCCACUCAUCUUGAGGGCACUCACAUCCCACAGAAAAGGCUUAGACUCCUCAAAUAUAACCAUGUGCGAAGUCGCAGAUUCAAUGAAGUUCCUGUGUUUUGGAUUUUUUUUUUGUCUGUUCUUUUUUUCACUUCAGGGGACUAUGAAAGACUACACAUUCGAUGGAAACCAGACUUGGAAUAUUGAUUUUUUCUGAACGGCAUGGUCCAGUUUUUCCUGUGAGCAUCUGAUAUUCAGCUCCUACUCAGCUAUGUGGUCACAAGGGGAAACAACCAAGACUCCAAUUUCAUUCUUCUCAAUCUGUGGGGCAUGAAAAAUCUAUCUCUAAAAAUAUUUACAUUAGGAUUCAUAGCAGCAUCAAAAUUUCAUAAGUAGCAAUGAAAUAAUUUUGUGGUUAGGUGUCACCACAACAUGAGGAAGUAUAUUAAAGGGUCACGGCAUUAGGAAGGUUGAGAACCACAGCUCUGGUUGCUAUGAUCUUAAGCUACACAAUCCCAUGGGUUAGGUUUAUUAACUGUAUUUUGAAUUAAUGAUAUUUUCGAUUUAACAUUAACUUACAGGGAACUAUUGCACUAUAAGUUGGGCAUCUGCAAUAAGAACGAAAUUUCAAGUCACGUGACACAUCUUCGGCUAGUCUAUAACUGACAUGACACAGUGGACUGACUGCUCGAUCACAUUACGUGUCUAUGGAGCAGUUCCACAAAUGCACUCAUCUUUAGAAAUGGAGGGAUUUCUUACUGAGAAUUUCCUACGUGUCUCCCUGGGGGGAAAAAAAACAGCAGAAUUGGGUCCAUCUUCUAUCACACACCCUAUGCUCAGUUCUGCAAGAUGUCAACUACCGAGAGCUGGGCAGUGGUGCCCUUUAGUCAGGUUAGGGUUCAGUUGGUUCCAUUUCUUUCUCCCCUAGGAGCCUCCUGCUGGCUGAUUUGUGUCUACACUGAAGUUUGAGAAAACCAACCAUCACGAACUGCUAUGACUGUGGUGGAAGCUGGGCAAACCCUGCCAUCUUCCUCUCUGUUCUUCUUAGAGACAUGAUCUUCCUUUCAACAGGAACGAAGCCUCUGGCCUUCCACAACUUAUCAGCACCUUGAUCCUGUAAGGGAAGGUUUGCUGCUCAGAGCCCACGUGACUCUCUCCAGACUCAUAUCCGUAGCUGGUUGCUGUCCACCCGAGGACGAGGUCACUGUAGGUCCAGGGCACAGUACAGAGUUGCUGAGGUCCACAUCCAUGAGAUAGAAGGACUUCUGUGAACAGCCAUCCCAGCACCCCUGUCCCCAGGUACAGAUGCAGAAUCCUAAUCUGAUCACAGAGUCUGGAAACAGAGUUUGACUCAUGCCCCGGUUUAAUCAUUGGCUGAAUCCUUUCUUCAAUCUCAGACUAUUAUUAGCAGUCAAGGUAAUUAGAAAAAAUUAGAUCAAAUCUUAGAAGGAUUUUUUUGUUUACAAAGAGCUUAGUGCAAUGGAUUAAACAUCUAUAAAAUGAGUCAGGAAAAAAAAACUUUUUUGAAUAGAGUCCUCCAAUAUCUAUAAAUAGAAAUUUUAUACUUAGUGCUUUAAGCAGUAACUUGGUAAUUCCCUUCACAGACUCAAAGUCUUCUGAAUAUGGAACAUAUAAAGAUAAGUAUGCACCGUUACGCGUGCACGCGCUCACGUGCGCGCAUGCGCGAGCGCGCACACACACACACACACACGCGUGUGCACUUACACACACAUAUACAUACACAGAGGGAGGCAAAGAUGUGUCUUUCAGCAAUUCGAUGUGGACAAAGAUUGAAAGCAGGCUCCGUUUGCCCUCUAAUAACAGGAAACUUUUGUUCACUCACCUAGAUGUUUUGAAAACACUAUGCUGUGAGUAGUAACAGGGGAGGGGGCCUGGGUAUAAUGCUGGGUAUAAUACUGAAUACACCCACUCAUGGGGAACUGAAGCAGGAGCCCCCAGGGCCAGGGUAUCUUCAGGCCCCUAGUGCUCAGGUCAGUUCUGGGUAAGAAGUUCCAGAUGAAGCUCCCCUAUGGGCUAAGGGUGCUGAGCUCACACAAAGCACACUAUAAAAGGAGCAGUUCCCUUGAUGGACUCCUUCCCUUAUAACAUAAUAGCAAGGCAUCACCCUCUAGUACAAACCUAAAUAGGUCUCAAUGAAGUGACAACCACAGGCAGUGGAGUUUCCCCAGGCAGCCUCAGUAAUGACUUCUAGGCAUGCAUGAGAGCAGGAAGGAUGGUUCAUCUUUAUCAUCAAUUUGACUGGGUUUGAAAUCACCUAGGAGACCAUUCUCGGAUGCCUGUGAGUACUUAAGAAGAUUAACUCAGGAUGCAAAGAGCCAUCCCAAAUGUGGGUAACACUAUCCCACGGUCUGGGAUCCUAGAAUAUUAAAAAAAGAAAGAAGGGAGAAGUCGAGUUCAGGACCAUUCAUCCUGUGUACAUGAUAUGGCCAGCCAUCUUGCUACCAUGCCUUCUCUAUCUCUAUCAAGGCCCACAAACCAUGACCCCAAAUAAGCCAUGUACUAUUGUAUAUUAGAUGUUUCGUUUUGUUUUGUUUUAUGGGGGCUUACAUUUAAGAGACUGUCUUGAGUUUCAGGCAAGACUAUAUUAGAGACUCUGGGGGUUUAGAAGAGGGCUGUUCAUGAUUAUGGAAACUUUUAGAGCACACGAAACAUAUUAAACUGCUUUGCUUCCCUACCAGCAUGGACUAUACCCCCCCCACUCCAAACAAUGAACCCAAAGACUUUUCCUCAUUAAGUUCCUCUUGUCAAGAGUUCUGUCCCAGUCCUUAGGAAAACCUCUGAGGGAGCAGGUAACAAACACCUCUCUACAGGUUUAUUUUGCUUUAUUUUGUAUCUCGAUGCUAUACAAAGUAAACCGAUGUCCUACCUUUCCACCUAAGAAAGCAAGCUGAGCUUCCCCCUGAAGGACAGAGGAGGCGUAACACAGAAACCUACAACCAUGGGAGCACUUGGCUUCUCCCUCAACCAUGGACUCACUUUUGAUUGAAGGUCGUUAAUAGUUCUGAACUUUCUAUGAAACGUAAACCAAUUAUGUACCGAGAUAGGGUGGUCCCUUCCCGCCGGUGGGCAUCAUCUCAAAUUAAUUGACUUGUGAGCCAGGAGGGAGGAAGGCUGUAAGGGCCAUCCUCUGCUUUGGAAGAUAGCCAGUUUUUUUCUCCGCUAGCAUACUCAGACCUCAGCAUUCAGCAGAAGAGCACCGGUUCUGUUACCAUCCUGGUUACUAUGCACAACUCUCUGGGAGCAGAACACAGUGACAGCGAAAUACACGAGAGGGACACCUUUAAGAAAGUCUGGUAAUUUAAAAAUGGCUGCGUGCUGUCACACUCUAAUUCAGCUCCAGAAAUUAACAGUAAUGACCCCAGAGAGUUUCGCAAUGUUUUCUGCAUAUAUCCUCUCUGGGUGUGAAACAUGUGCCUCUUCAAGAGGAGAAAAGUCAUCCAGGGGUGCCAGGGAAAUUUCUCAUAUAGCCAGGUGGGAAAUGAGAUCCCGCUGUUAAAACAGAGAGUGUUGCCCUUGGACAUGCUAAGGAUUCCUACUUAGAAAAGUACCGGUCUCAUGUUUCUGGGGAGAAGUCCGAGCAGAGGUCAUUCAACUUGUGGGGAAUCUGAUGAGACAUUUUUAUAUUCUCUAAGUUUCUCCCCCUGUUCUCGGUCCCCCACGGAGUAUUUUGUGUCCCCGCCCCAACUCCACACAUUUUAGAAAUACCAUCUGAUAAAGGAACUUAAUGGAAGACAGUUCAAACUGAAAAGAUUCUUCCCAGGUGCAGUCCAGUGCAGAGGCAUUCUUUGGAUGGAGUUCUGGUGUCCUUAAGUUCCAGCUACUCUUUCUGAAUCCGCCCUUUGCACAGUUUAGCCAAAGGAAGGAGCUCAACUGGUAGGGACAAGGACCUGGGUGUGCUUUAAGCUGAAUUUAAAACCUUCCACCCAAGCCAACAGGUCAACGUAGUUCUUCCUCUAUUGCUCUGGGGCAGAGGUUAAACCUCGGACUUGCCUUUCUUUCAGACCCUGUGUUACUAAAUGACUGAUGGGUUUCUUUGUUUAUAUCCCAAUGUCCUUGUGAUACAAGUUUUUCCAAGGAGGUCACCCCACCCCUGCAACCACCUUGGGUGGGAACUUGAUUUUAUGGUUGAGUUUUAUUCCUCCAGGAGGCUGGCUGCUAAGCCAAGUGACCAGUUACUUAAAAUAAAUAGAUGGAAAUAGAGGAAAGGAAUCCACAAUUGCCAGCAAUUGCCAUCGAAUCUCACUUCUCAAUUAAGUGGUUUCGAGCACUCAACAGUAAUCACCACAGGGGUAUGGGAGAUAUUUGUACGCUGGUGGUUCUUUGGAGGCCAGGGAGUAGAAGGUGGUGGUUUGAGAAUGGCCCCAGAGACCAAUGUGUUUGAAUUUUAGGUCUCAGUGGAACUGUUUGGGAACCCCUUUGGAGUUGAACCACCCUUUUGCAGGCCUUGCAUAUCAGAUAUUUACAUUACGAUUCGUAACAGUAGCAAAAUAACAGCUUUGAAGUAGCAACGACAUAGUUUUAUGAUUGAGAGUCACCACAACGGGAGGAACUGUAUUAAAGGGUCACAGGGUUAGGAAAGUUGAGAAGCGUUGCCUUAGAUUGUCUGUACACGAAUAUCAGCAGGAACACAAGACAGUAUAAAAGAAAGUCUGUUCUAGCCUGAGGAAGGGAGUAGAUUGCAGUUGUGAAAUAACUGAGCAGAAAAGGAAGUUCUGGUCUCAACUGUAACAUUGUAACCAGACAAGAACAAGAGGUCUGUGUGCCGAGCUUCUGUGGAGGCAGCCGAUGGUCUCUCACUCAUACACAGAUGACCAACUAAAGGGUGCCAAAGCUGAGAAGGUUGGCCUGGGCAGCGUAAUACAGUUAUGAGAGGAGGGAGGUACAGAGCUGUUUCACAGGGGCAGGAUGUUUUCUGAUUUCCUUGGAAACUGUGAAUCCCUUGAGCUGCAGUGAGCAUCAUCUUCCAGACUGGAAGAUGGAUGCCACUCUACUAAAGAAGCAGCCCAGGGUUGACACUAAUAAUGCCUUCUUGCCGACCAUGAAGACUAGGAGUGAAAAAUCACAUGGGAAAGAUACAGCUGGGUUCCUUGAUGGACAGCAGGUUUCUCCUCCACUGGGAGUUGGAGGCAGAAAGAUUCUGAGUUCUAGGCUAUCCUAGGUUACAAAGCCCUGUCUCAAAAACCAUAAAAACUCCAUCUUCCCACCCCCAGGAUUUCCCACCUCCCAUGGGACUGUCAAUAUUCUAUCAUGCCUAAGGAGAGGCUCAUGAGGCCUCACCCGUCCCUCAUACCCUAAAGGCAGCUAAUGGCUGUUUAGCUGGGGCAAGUCAUAUAACUUGUGGUGUAGCCACUGGUAAGUUGUUCUUCCUAAGGAAAUAACCCUCCAUUCAUGCUCCUCUCAGCAGCUCUAUUGUAUGCAGUGAGGCACACACACUGGCAAGCAAAAUGAGCUCUACAGGAGUAUGGAGAGGAUCAGAGAGGACAGUGAGAGAUGGAAUGAUUGAUAUAAAUGCAUAUAUGUGUGUAUACAUGCAUACAUAUAUGUGUGUACAUAUAUAUGACAUGCAUAAAAUUCUUAAAUAAUUGCACAUAGAACACACACAUGUACUUGGAAAUACAUUAUAUAUAAUGUUUUCUAUACAUAUAGUUAUAGAGUUAUAGUUCUUUUCCACUGCCUAUGCAUUAUUGACUUAUCCAUGGAUAUUCAUGACAGCUCUGGGCUGCCAGGGAGGUGCCAGAACAGUGUCAUAGAGCUAGCUUGCCCUCACAGGGAAGGGCACACCUUGCCUGUAAUAGCCCCUACAUGCAGAGCCUGGCUGCUCAACCUUCAAUUUCCAAGGACAAUCUAGGGUUAGAGGUGGGUGUUCUCUGCCUUUCCUUUUCAUGGCAAACUAAGCAAAAGUAGGCAGAUGACUUUCUGCGUUUUCUCUUACACAACACUGGAACCUGAAAUAUGUAUGACUUGGAUAGAAGCCUAUUCAUAACACCAACAGCAGGAGGCCAGAACAUCUAAAUAAGCGAAUGACUUCCCAUGGAACGAGCGGACGGGAUGGAUUUCUGCAGUGUGCUGUUAUGCUUUGGGAGAAAAGCUGUUCUCCCCGAGGCUGGCCACGUGUCUGAGGUCCUUAAGACAGCAAGUUCAAAGCAUAGUGACUCUGCUGUACCCACAGCUGAGUGACAAAGCUGCCACCAUCGGAUUUCAUAGUUGAAAUAAGAAAGGCGAGUGAGGGUCAUCCUGUGACGUCAGAUUUGUGGCUAAGUGAGUGGCAGAGCUGGGUCUCUGGGCGCCAGAGUUUAGAGGACCAGUCAGGUAUGUUCAAGGAUAGAAUGCCCAUCAUAAGCAAGUGGAUAGGCUAAGAUAUUUGAGAGUGAAAGGCCAAAUGAAUAAUACAUGUGCCAGGACAAUAAAUUUAAACCACAAGUGUCAUACAGGGUGUAUUGUUACCUUAAUUACUGUACAAUGUGCGUGUGGAGAAACAAAAAAGGUUUUCUCAUUAUUAUUCACCUACUUAAUAAUUAUUUAUUGACUCUUUAAUAAGUACCAUAUGCAGUCCCAGACCAUGAGUUAAUACACUGUCCCUUCCUGCUUAAUGACCACAUCUUCUAGUGCACGCCACUUGUAUGUGCUUAUGUGCCUGAAUGUGCAUAAUGGUCUGUCACACAGGAUGCAUGUAUGUGACAACAAGAAAUACACGUUUAGAAUUCUCACAUUAAAUAUCCAUUAGAAUCCAUAUAGUAGCCCUCAUUCCUCUCAUUUUGACUCCUUAACAUAUUAAAUUUGUUCAGCAUCCUCCCUCUGAUCCAUGGGGACAUAGUCCCAGAUCUGUCUGAAAUCAGAAGUAGUAGGACACCCUAUAUGUGUAUUAUGUUUUGCAUGCAGCUCCACGCUGAUGAUGAAUUUGAACUUAUAAGUUACACAAUGUGUAAAUUCAACAAAAAUUGCUACUGAUAAAUAGAAUAGCUACAGGGAUUUACUUAAGUAGUCAAGUGGAUGCAAUUAUUCUCCCUUGAAUACUCUUUUAUUAAGAUGUUUUUCAGUUAUGUGUGUAUGUGUGUGUCUGUGUGUUUUGGUAUGUGAAUGUAGGUGCUAGCUAGUACCUGUAGUUAUAGGUGGUUGCAAACCCCAUGACAUGAAUGCUGGGAACAAAACUCUGGUCUUCUCUUAGCUGCUGAACCAUCUCACCAACCCCAAUUAUUAUCUCUUGAAAGAAAUAAGACCAUUGAAAUUAAUGAGAUGAUUCAUCCCUCACUCUGCAUGAUCACAGGUAAAUGGAAUUGUGGGAUAUAAGUUACAGGUCAGGGCAUCUCAAAGCAUAAACAUUCUAUACCACCAAAUAGAAAAGGCCACAUCAAGAUUCUGAAAUUCUAGACAUGUGUACCAGUUCGGUUGCUGAUAACACAUUCUCCUUCCUUGUUCUUUCCAUCCCACCAAACUUGGAGUGUUGCUAGGAAACCAUGUUGCUUCUCACUCCGGACCACCAGCUGUUUCUGUGUGCUAUUCCUAUUUAUUCUGGUUGAUUACCACAACUACCCCGUGAAGGAAGCCAGUGGAACACCCGCUGUGGUCUGAUUUUACGGUGAUGGUCUAACCUGGUCAAAAGAGAUAAAAGGGUCAAGAAUGAGUCUCAAGGACAGCUCUUUGUCUCCAAGGAAAGAACGGAUAGAUCCGGUCCACCAAGGCGCUCUGGAGACUACAGGGCAAGGAAAACAAGACUGAUCUCAGUACAGUGCUCAGGGUUCCAGCCUCGGGAUCCUGGGAAACCAGUUCAAGAAUUGGGAGUAGCACAAUUAUCAGUGACUGAGACACAGAAAUAUGGAAAUGGAGCUAUUUCACAGCCCUGUGGUUGCCUGAGCUUAUAUGCCGACAUGAAGAAAUACUAUGGGAUUUGCCUGUCAAGUGUGAGUCAGGCACAGUCACGUGGAGAGCUUGGAUAGAAUCACUAUCGUCUCUGUCUACAGGAUGAGUGGAGAGGUGGAAGGAGAUAAAGACACCUUCAAACAAGGAGUGAACUUUGUACAUCGAGAUGAGAAAGCCUGGGACGGGUGGCGGACAGUGUACAACAUGUCCUAGUUCAUGUUUUAGAGAGAAUGAAGACAAAGAGGACCAUUUAGGAGUUCCAGUCACUAAGACUGGAAACAUAUGGAUGACCCUGAACAUAUGUGGUCCUCGGAAGAGAAAAGAACCUUGACCGCUCUGUUGGUUUUAUUAAGUCAGAGCACAUGGCGGCGGGCACACGGUCUGUACAACAUGAGAUUUGAAGAACAAGAACUUCAUCCCAUGCCCCUCCCCAGAUGGCACAGAAGCUUGGGACAAAGUAGACGAAGUGUGAGGCGAAACUUAUUUUCCUGGCCCGUGAAAUUGUUCUGCAAUACCUGGGCAGUCUUGCUCAAAGCCAGAGCGAGAGAGAGAGAGUGGAGGGUCUGGAGGGCAUGGUGAUGCUGGAGAAAGACUUGAGGGCAUGUGGAAAGGAGACUUUGGUAUAUCUGGGUAUUUGCACAUUCCUUCGGAAGCAUCCAAGGAGGCAAGAGAAAGCUGGGUUGCAAAAUAGGAAGAAAAGAGCAAAAGACUCCAAACAGAUUUCCUUUUUAACUCGAAAACUCCACUUCCUCUUCUGAGAUCUAUUUCAGGGAGCCAGCACCUGACUACUUGAACCUCUCUCUGAGAAAGAGACAAGAAUAGACAAAUCCUGUCAUCUCUAACCUGCCCCAGUGGCCAGAGAAGUAUGGAAUUCAAGGAAGGCAGAUGGACUGGGGAAAUACACCUGCAAUGUGUUUGAACUAUGGUCCAACCCAACUUCAUGAGGGCAAAGUGGCAUGUAAAAUGGAAGAGGGCCAGGGAGUUCAGGACCCUGGGCUAAGACUGUGGUUAAGAGAGACACGAAGGUACGUGUGCUUGAACUUUGACUCACACAAGCAUGGAGACUUUUAACCAAGUCCCACACAGUUAGGAUGACGAUGUCCAUUAAGAUGAGUGGAAUACCACAACUGAGUUAAGAGGACUCCCAAAGGCCACUCAAGAGAACAAGAGCUCAGGGAUUAAGACAGAAGGCAAGAAGCACAGAGACAGCAGAAGAUAGUGGAAAAGCAACAGAAGUGCCAGCUAUCGCGGUGGCUGUCUGGAGCACAGUCACCACUGUCACCAGUGUCACGCCUGCCUUGACAACCUGGGUUAAUGGACAAAUCCACCCUCCUCUAAUCCUCACUCCGGAACAAGCCUUCAGGGAGGACCAAAGAUGAGGCAUCCAACCCUUCUGCCUAGAACUGGGUCUCUUCAUCCAUCAGCAAACCUUCCUCGUGUGUCAGCUUCCUCCUCCCCCAAAGCAGGUCCAUCAUAUCUACCCAGGAUGAGGGCUGUGAAAAUGAGGGAUAAUGAACUUAAGUGCCCACUAGCGGCUGUUAUUAGUGUAAUUAAUCUGAUUAAAAUAAUCAGGGGUGAAGAACAGAAGAGGGUGUCAGAGCAGAAAAGUCCAUAAUGGAAAAGGUCACAAAUGCAGCCCUCCUGGGGUUCUGACUCAGGCACAGGGGGAGACCCAGAGGUGAGCUAUCUGUGUGCAUUUGGUGGGUUGGACUUUGUCGGUCACAGUGUGAACUUCCCAGUUUUGGUUCCCGUCUCUCUCAGGUGAGAGUAUUCACACCUGCACACCCCUACGGGGUGGGGAUGCUGUGAGGGAUAUGUGAAGAGAGCAUCUCGGGCUAUUAUUAGAGGCCAUGAGCUUAUGUGGCUGUUUGCUUGAUAGGGAGGCCCAUGUCCCUUACACCAUUGCUCAGGUGGAAUUAAAACACACAGCUAGUCAAUCAUGCCGGAGCCAGCAAUU
Rattus norvegicus (Norway rat) is the source of this 10066-nucleotide non-coding RNA. The record is from RefSeq and is a predicted model, not a curated record. Lineage: Eukaryota; Metazoa; Chordata; Mammalia; Rodentia; Muridae.